CACGUGGGUAACCUGCCUUAUAGUGGGGGAUAGCCUUUCGAAAGGAAGAUUAAUACCGCAUAAGAUUGUAGUAUCGCAUGAUAUAGCAAUUAAAGGAGCAAUCCGCUAUAAGAUGGACCCGCGUCGCAUUAGCUAGUUGGUGAGGUGAUGGCUCACCAAGGCGACGAUGCGUAGCCGACCUGAGAGGGUGAUCGGCCACGUUGGGACUGAGACACGGCCCAGACUCCUACGGGAGGCAGCAUG
This 243-nucleotide ribosomal RNA is filed under the name uncultured bacterium. RNAcentral's name for it is "partial 16S ribosomal RNA". It matches the Rfam family "Bacterial small subunit ribosomal RNA", at positions 114 to 353 of the family's 1533-position model. The record is from RNAcentral.